AUGUUGUUAUUUUCUUCGAUGUUGGAAGAAAGUGUAUCUUCCCAAAAGGACAGAAGGCCCUCAUCUUAUGAAUCAAGUGAUGCAUACAACCUAUUUUAUCAAAAAAUUAUUUUUGGAGAAUUAUCUUGUCUGAACAUAGAAGAAAACAUUAACUUGCUAGAACUUAGGCAAGUGAUGGUAAAAUGCAUGCUUCCCCAUAAUUCAUUUCAUGAGGGUGUGACACAUAUGGUGGUGGAGGACAAAAAAAUGAGGCAAUAUAGACUUUGGCGCUACUUUGCAACAAUGUUUGACCUCCAUUAA
Molecule: ribosomal RNA, 300 nt
Filed under: Triticum aestivum (bread wheat)
Lineage: Eukaryota; Viridiplantae; Streptophyta; Magnoliopsida; Poales; Poaceae
Description: partial small subunit ribosomal RNA
Source: RNAcentral